CUGCAUCUAUCGGAUCGUUUUAGAAACAUCAGUGGCCAACAAUCGUCAGGAUUGUUGAGCUGCAUUGGCGGGAUUUCGCCGUCUACGUUUCUCUUUCUUCGCGGACGAACACGCGCCAGGGGCUUAGCGCUGUGCGAAGGUUUGGCGCUUGUGCGAUGCAUUGGCGUGAGCCGAUUGUGCGAGCAUGUCCCUGAUCCUUCAUGGAAGGAGCGUUAGGGGCUUGUAGCUCAGUUGGUUAGAGCGCGCGCUUGAUAAGCGUGAGGUCGGAAGUUCAAGUCUUCCCAGGCCCACCAGCCUUCGCUGCUGCGCAGCUUCGGCUCGGCAGGCCUUUCUUGAACGAAGGCUGCUGCGCCGUAGCGCCGGCGAAGGCGAGCGCGAAAGAGCAUUCGUCUUCUGGUACGGGGCCAUAGCUCAGCUGGGAGAGCGCGUGCUUUGCAAGCAUGAGGUCGUCGGUUCGAUCCCGUCUGGCUCCACCAGAUGAAAUCGAAGAUCGAGAUGCCUCGAAUAAUCGUCCGCGAAACAUCACUUCGCAUGCGCAGUCCGGAUGGACGGCGUCAUGCGUGAUAUCUGACAUCGUAAAGAGGAGAUCGAUCCGAGUUUGGGAUCUGCAAAAGCAAUUUUGCGGAAUCUCACUCAUAAUCUCCAGGUCAUUUCGGCGCUCGCUCAUCGCAAGAUGGUCGGGUUGUAAAUGAUCUUUUUAGCGAAGCUUGACCGCCUCGCUAUCGGUUCGAUCUUACGAAGCAAGCUGGUCUUUCUAAUCAGUGUCCGGCUGCGCAUAGCAUUCAUCGAGGGUGCGUGCCUUUUGAUUUCGAUCUUGAGGCAAUUGCGCAGACAACAUUCUGCCGAGUGUGUGGACAUUGAUAAUGAGAGCAAUCAAGUGCCUUAAGGGUGUUCGGUGGAUGCCUUGGCGCUGAGAGGCGAUGAAGGACGUGCUACGCUGCGAUAAGCCGUGGAG
Molecule: unclassified non-coding RNA, 955 nt
Filed under: Bradyrhizobium sp. RRM8
Lineage: Bacteria; Pseudomonadati; Pseudomonadota; Alphaproteobacteria; Hyphomicrobiales; Nitrobacteraceae
Description: partial 16S-23S ribosomal RNA intergenic spacer
Rfam family: tRNA (bases 217-290)
Source: RNAcentral